UAGCUUAGUUGGUAAAGAAUCCGCCUGCAAUGCAGAAGACCCUGGUUCGAUUCCUGG
This is a non-coding RNA of Bos taurus (domestic cattle), 57 nucleotides long. NCBI's taxonomy places the organism in Eukaryota, Metazoa, Chordata, Mammalia, Artiodactyla, Bovidae. The record is from Rfam.